UACGUAGGGUGCGAGCGUUGUCCGGAAUUAUUGGGCGUAAAGAGCUCGUAGGCGGUGUGUCACGUCGGCCGUGAAAACCUGCAGCUUAACUGUGGGCGUGCGGUCGAUACGGGCAUCACUGGAGUUCGGCAGGGGAGACUGGAAUUCCUGGUGUAGCGGUGAAAUGCGCAGAUAUCAGGAGGAACACCGGUGGCGAAGGCGGGUCUCUGGGCCGAUACUGACGCUGAGGAGCGAAAGCGUGGGGAGCGAGCAGG
This 254-nucleotide ribosomal RNA is filed under the name uncultured bacterium. Its description in RNAcentral is "partial 16S ribosomal RNA". It matches the Rfam family "Bacterial small subunit ribosomal RNA", at positions 524 to 776 of the family's 1533-position model. The record is from RNAcentral.